GAUGAAGAACGUAGCGAAAUGCGAUAAGUAAUGUGAAUUGCAGAAUUCAGUGAAUCAUCGAAUCUUUGAACGCAUCUUGCGCUCCUUGGUAUUCUGAGGAGCAUGCCUGUUUGAGCGUCAUUAAAUUCUCAACUACACUGACUUUGAAUUGGUGUGGCUUGGAUUUGGGGGGAAAAUUGUUGUGGGCUUUUUGUAUAGUCUGCUCCCCUGAAAUUGAUUAGCGGUACCUUUGUGGAACUGUCUACAGGUGUGAUAAUUAUCUACAUCUUAGACAUCUGCUGGAAUGCUGCUUUCUAAACCUUACUUGUAUUGACAAUCUUGACCUCAAAUCAGGUAGGACUACCCGCUGAACUUAAGCAUAUCAAUAAGCGGAGGA
RNAcentral lists this unclassified non-coding RNA (376 nucleotides) under soil metagenome. RNAcentral describes it as "partial contains 5.8S ribosomal RNA, internal transcribed spacer 2, and large subunit ribosomal RNA". The stretch from base 1 to 120 matches the Rfam family "5.8S ribosomal RNA", at positions 35 to 154 of the family's 154-position model. The record is from RNAcentral.